UACAGAGGUCUCAAGCGUUGUUCGGAUUCAUUGGGCGUAAAGGGUGCGUAGGCGGCGCGGUAAGUCGGGUGUGAAAUCUCGGGGCUUAACUCCGAAACUGCAUUCGAUACUGCGGUGCUUGAGGACCGGAGAGGAGACUGGAAUUCAUGGUGUAGCAGUGAAAUGCGUAGAGAUCAUGAGGAAGACCAGUGGCGAAGGCGGGUCUCUGGACAGUUCCUGACACUGAGGCACGAAGGCCAGGGGAGCAAACGGG
Molecule: ribosomal RNA, 253 nt
Filed under: uncultured bacterium
Lineage: Bacteria
Description: partial 16S ribosomal RNA
Rfam family: Bacterial small subunit ribosomal RNA
Source: RNAcentral